Molecule: ribosomal RNA, 252 nt
Filed under: uncultured bacterium
Lineage: Bacteria
Description: partial 16S ribosomal RNA
Rfam family: Bacterial small subunit ribosomal RNA
Source: RNAcentral
UACGUAGGGGGCAAGCGUUGUCCGGAAUUAUUGGGCGUAAAGCGCGCGCAGGCGGCCUUGUAAGUCUGUUGUUUAAACUUGGGGCUCAACUCCAAGUCGCAAUGGAAACUGCAAAGCUUGAGUACAGAAGAGGAAAGUGGAAUUCCACGUGUAGCGGUGAAAUGCGUAGAGAUGUGGAGGAACACCAGUGGCGAAGGCGACUUUCUGGGCUGUAACUGACGCUGAGGCGCGAAAGCGUGGGGAGCAAACAGG